This 253-nucleotide ribosomal RNA is filed under the name uncultured bacterium. RNAcentral describes it as "partial 16S ribosomal RNA". It matches the Rfam family "Bacterial small subunit ribosomal RNA", at positions 524 to 776 of the family's 1533-position model. The record is from RNAcentral.
UACGGAGGGUGCAAGCGUUAUCCGGAUUCACUGGGUUUAAAGGGUGCGUAGGUGGGCAAGUAAGUCAGUGGUGAAAUCUCCGGGCUUAACCCGGAAACUGCCAUUGAUACUAUUUGUCUUGAAUACUGUGGAGGUCAGCGGAAUAUGUCGUGUAGCGGUGAAAUGCUUAGAUAUGACAUAGAACACCAAUUGCGAAGGCAGCUGGCUACACAAAUAUUGACACUGAGGCACGAAAGCGUGGGGAUCAAACAGG